UGCUAAUUAGCAAAGUAGGGAACUGUACCUA
RNAcentral lists this non-coding RNA (31 nucleotides) under Rattus norvegicus (Norway rat). The record is from RNAcentral. Lineage: Eukaryota; Metazoa; Chordata; Mammalia; Rodentia; Muridae.